Non-coding RNA from Rattus norvegicus (Norway rat), 420 nucleotides. The record is from RefSeq and is a predicted model, not a curated record. NCBI's taxonomy places the organism in Eukaryota, Metazoa, Chordata, Mammalia, Rodentia, Muridae.
UAGGGUUGAGGGGGUAGGGACAACUGUUCCUGGCUCAGGCCAGGGCCCUUCCAAGACCUCAGUUUUCUUGCUAAAGAAACGUUUUUCCAGUCUUCUGGGACAUACUGCCUAAAGAUUAAGGAAGAGUCAGCUUGAGGUGCAAUCCCGGCCAGGAUCUGUGUCUACAGAUCUAUUAAGUCUCCUGGAAUCUGCAUUUCUCACUCUCAUGCUGGAGUCCCAUGCUGAAGGAUAUCACUUAGAGAACAGCCGUGUUUAGCACGUUGGAACUUCUGGUGGUCAGGAACCCGAGGACUCCAGGCAAAUCACACGUAUGCCCUAUGGUUCGGUCUUUCUGUUCUCUCCAAAGGAUAUGACAUACUAAAGCCUUACCAGGAGGUUACAAGCCUCUCCGGGAUCAAUAAAUGUCCAAGUGUCUUGAAA